UAGGGAAUCUUCGGCAAUGGACGAAAGUCUGACCGAGCAACGCCGCGUGAGUGAAGAAGGUUUUCGGAUCGUAAAACUCUGUUGUUAGAGAAGAACAAGGACGUUAGUAACUGAACGUCCCCUGACGGUAUCUAACCAGAAAGCCACGGCUAACUACGUGCCAGCAGCCGCGGUAAUACGUAGGUGGCAAGCGUUGUCCGGAUUUAUUGGGCGUAAAGCGAGCGCAGGCGGUUUCUUAAGUCUGAUGUGAAAGCCCCCGGCUCAACCGGGGGGGGUCAUUGGAAACUGGGAGACUGGAGUGCAGAAGAGGAGAGUGGAAUUCCAUGUGUAGCGGUGAAAUGCGUAGAUAUAUGGAGGAACACCAGUGGCGAAGGCGGCUCUCUGGUCUGUAACUGACGCGGAGGCUCGAAAGCGUGGGGAGCAAACAGG
Molecule: ribosomal RNA, 429 nt
Filed under: Gemmatimonadota bacterium
Lineage: Bacteria; Pseudomonadati; Gemmatimonadota
Description: Gemmatimonadetes bacterium partial 16S ribosomal RNA
Rfam family: Bacterial small subunit ribosomal RNA
Source: RNAcentral